GAAGCCUCAUUAAAAUCUUUCCUGGGUUAAAGCACAGCUGUCAAGAAAGAAGAAGAAAUCAGCUAUGCAGAAGCAAGCUCCUCUUUAAUUUGCUCAGAUACUGUUGGGAGGUGAAAAAUGCAUGAGAAAAGACAAGGAAAGAGAAGAAAACUUCACUGAUGUCAGGGAUACCACUGCUUGAACUUUGCUGUUUGCCUGGAUAAGGGGUGCCACGCUCUGGACACCAAGGAAAGUCCCCUGGAAAACAAGAAAGCCUGUUUAACUGAAGCCUUUCCUGUUAAAAAUAUGCUUUCUGAUUGAUGUUUGUCAGUGGGAAGAAAGCUUCCUUUGAACACUCUUAUCCUGCUCUGAUCCUGCAGAUGUCUCUUAAUAUACUCCUGAUUCACCAAGAACAAGAAAAGGAGAAGCAUAAACAACCUCUGAACACCACUGUACUCAGAGAGCAGAUUUCUUACUCUGUGGUAACUGGUUUGUACCACAGGCUUUCAAAUCUAGGGUGUUUUCCAUGCAUUUCUUUUGCAUGACUGUCAUGAACUGACCCCAUUUUUAUUCUGGGGACUGUUCCUCCACAGCUGUUGAGUCAGCACUACUGUAGUAGUAGUACCCAUGUCUGCUGUCUAUGUCACUGUGUAAUACAUUACUUGCCACGGAACUCACAAGGCAAUGCUUUCACCAAUAAGCAGCUAAUUGCCUGGAAUGCAAUUGGAAACUUCUUUAAAUUCAAACAAUUAAAUUCAAACAAAAAUUGUAUGUUCUCAGAGAAAAAAUUUCAUGAGAGGAAACCACUUUGAGGCUCUUUAGAUAUGUAUAGAGAUAUUGCUCUAGUAACCUUAUGGAGGAUUGAACCCAAAUUGCGGUGCAGACUCAGAGAUGCAAAGACUUGCUAAAUAAAUCAGAGGCUGGAUUUAUCUGCUCA
This 916-nucleotide long non-coding RNA is filed under the name Zonotrichia albicollis (white-throated sparrow). Its description in RNAcentral is "lncRNA (ENSZALG00000006313.1)". The record is from RNAcentral. Lineage: Eukaryota; Metazoa; Chordata; Aves; Passeriformes; Passerellidae.